GGGUGAGAGCAUGAGGGUGAGAGGCGAGGCGGACCGUUUCCGCCUCCGCCUCUGCCUCCGCUAUUUUUUUCGGCGAGAGAAAAAAAAAAAGAACGAGAGAAACGAAGAGGAGAGAGAAAGAUGAGAGAGAAAAAGUAAUAAGGAUAUUUUGGUCAGUUUGCUGAAAAUUCGGACCGAAUCUGCAAAAUCAAAAAAGGCGGCCCAGUUUUGCAAAUGCCCAAAAUUAGUGGAUUUUUUAUGCAAAUUGGCCUUUUUUUUUAAUUGAAAAUUAUUAGGGGGUUGCCUCUUAUAAAGGAAUAAUUAUUUGUAUGCUGAUUAAAAUUUCG
This 326-nucleotide long non-coding RNA is filed under the name Ananas comosus (pineapple). RNAcentral's name for it is "long non-coding RNA (ACOM_LNC023127)". The record is from RNAcentral. Lineage: Eukaryota; Viridiplantae; Streptophyta; Magnoliopsida; Poales; Bromeliaceae.